This 253-nucleotide ribosomal RNA is filed under the name uncultured bacterium. RNAcentral describes it as "partial 16S ribosomal RNA". It matches the Rfam family "Bacterial small subunit ribosomal RNA", at positions 524 to 776 of the family's 1533-position model. The record is from RNAcentral.
UACGUAGGGUGCGAGCGUUGUCCGGAAUUAUUGGGCGUAAAGAGCUCGUAGGCGGCUUGUCGCGUCGGAUGUGAAAGCCCGGGGCUUAACCCCGGGUCUGCAUUCGAUACGGGCAGGCUAGAGUUCGGUAGGGGAGACUGGAAUUCCUGGUGUAGCGGUGAAAUGCGCAGAUAUCAGGAGGAACACCGGUGGCGAAGGCGGGUCUCUGGGCCGAUACUGACGCUGAGGAGCGAAAGCGUGGGGAGCGAACAGG